This 885-nucleotide ribosomal RNA is filed under the name Triticum aestivum (bread wheat). RNAcentral's name for it is "partial small subunit ribosomal RNA". The record is from RNAcentral. Lineage: Eukaryota; Viridiplantae; Streptophyta; Magnoliopsida; Poales; Poaceae.
UCGCCCACUCUCGGUUCGCCCAUGGCCUCUGAGCCCCUGUCGUCGGGCCAGUCUUCGCCAUGCAGCCCGGAGUCGUCUGUCCCGAGCUCGCCUGAGGUGAUUCCUGCAUCUCCGGCGACCGUCACGUCUCCGUCACCUUCGCCUCCGCCGGCUCCUGCUGCUGCUCUACGUCCACAUACGCGCAGUCGGAGUGGCAUUUUUCAGCCUAAGCAACGUCACGAUGGCACAGUUGCUUGGUUAGCGGCGUGCAUGUCUGCUGCUCUCGCAGAUCCAUCCUCUGAGCCACGCACGUAUCAAGCUGCUAUGCGCAUUCCUCAUUGGAGAGAGGCCAUGGAGCAAGAGUAUCAAGCGCUUCUUCGCAAUCAGACAUGGACUCUUGUUCCUCCACAAUCACGGGUAAAUGUCAUUGAUUCCAAAUGGGUUUUCAAAGUGAAGAGGCAUUCUGAUGGGUCCAUUGAGCGCUAUAAGGCUCGUCUGGUUGCUCGUGGUUUUCGACAUCGUUUUGGACUUGACUAUGAAGACACCUUCAGUCCAGUGGUCAAGCCUACUACCAUCAGACUUCUUCUCUCUCUGGCUGUUACUCGAGGUUGGUUUCUUCGUCAGCUUGAUGUUCAAAAUGCUUUUCUUCAUGGUGUCUUGGUGGAGGAGGUUUACAUGCGCCAGCCUCCGGGUUUCUCUGAUCCGGAUCGCCCUGAUCAUCUCUGUCGUCUGUCCAAGGCAAUUUAUGGUCUGAAGCAGGCUCCUCGUGCUUGGCAUGCUCGUCUUGCAAUGGCUCUUCGUGCUCAUGGUUUUGCAUCAUCAACUGCUGACUCCUCAUUGUUUCUUCUUCAAAGGCCUGAGGUUACUAUGUACUUGUUGGUCUAUGUAGAUGAUAUCAUUUUGGCC